This 432-nucleotide ribosomal RNA is filed under the name uncultured bacterium. Its description in RNAcentral is "partial 16S ribosomal RNA". It matches the Rfam family "Bacterial small subunit ribosomal RNA", at positions 29 to 506 of the family's 1533-position model. The record is from RNAcentral.
AGCGAACGCUGGCGGCAGGCCUAACACAUGCAAGUCGAACGAACUCUUCGGAGUUAGUGGCGGACGGGUGAGUAACACGUGGGAACGUGCCUUUUGGUUCGGAAUAACUCAGGGAAACUUGUGCUAAUACCGAAUGUGCCCUUCGGGGGAAAGAUUUAUCGCCAUUAGAGCGGCCCGCGUCUGAUUAGCUAGUUGGUGAGGUAACGGCUCACCAAGGCGACGAUCAGUAGCUGGUCUGAGAGGAUGACCAGCCACACUGGGACUGAGACACGGCCCAGACUCCUACGGGAGGCAGCAGUGGGGAAUCUGGCGCAAUGGGCGAAAGCCUGACGCAGCCAUGCCGCGUGAAUGAUGAAGGUCUUAGGAUUGUAAAAUUCUUUCACCGGGGACGAUAAUGACGGUACCCGGAGAAGAAGCCCCGGCUAACUUCGU